This is an RNA transcript of Prunus dulcis (almond), 691 nucleotides long. It is a transcript of the gene named DNA polymerase zeta catalytic subunit-like, with no coding region annotated. The record is from RefSeq and is a predicted model, not a curated record. The transcript has 4 exons. NCBI's taxonomy places the organism in Eukaryota, Viridiplantae, Streptophyta, Magnoliopsida, Rosales, Rosaceae.
CUGUCAUUUUUGUUGUUGAAGAUUUCAGCUAUAAGGGUUUUUCCACAAGUUGCAAAUAUACAGAUCUUGUGUCUCCUAUUUGAUUACAUUUGUUUAUUUAUUUAUUUCUAAUUCAUCAGGGUUAGCUAGUUUUCGUUCAGAUCAUGAGAAAAUUUUCCCCUUCAGGAAGUUGCCUCUUUGAGGCAUAUUAUCAAACAUUAUGGGGGCAACUCUUAAUGAACAAACCAGCAAUCAACUAUGAUGAGGGACAUACCAAGCCUAUCCUUUCUGUGUGCUGGGAUCCAUCUGGUGAGUUCCUUGCAUCAGUCAAAUUAUACAUGGUCAUCCUAUAAGGUUAGAGCAUACUUACAGCAUCAAUGGAAGCAGAUUCUAUCUGGAAGGGUGUCUCUUCAGGAUUUUGUAUCUGCAAAGGAGGUUCGCCUAGGCACCUACCGUAACUAGCUCUGUUCUUGUUUUGGCAGGAUAAACAAACAAUGUUAUUGUUAAUGGGAAAUAGCAGCAGCCCAUCAUUAGCGAAGAUUCAAAGGAAGCUAUGAAGCAUGCAUUCGAACUCUUUAAUGUUCGAUUGGAAGUAGACUUUGGGACUAGUGAUAUAGGACAUAGCUUAGGAUUGUAAUGAAUAUUUGUAAUUUAUUACAUUUGUCUUUUGUUAAUGAUGAUAUAUACUAUUCUUCGAACAACAAUUUUUCAA